AGUUUAUAGAUGCGUUACAUCGAUUACAUUCAAAUUAUUAAAUAUGAGUUUAUGUAUUGGCAGACGAAGAAAACACCCCUCGCAAAAAGGGCAAGCUCUCCGUCUCACAGGUGCACAGGUGUGUGUGGAUGAAAGAGAAGGUGUGCACAUGCCUUCGAAAAUAAAUUAAAAGGCCAGCGACAACCCAACUCUACAUUCAUUCAAUAAUGAUCCUUCCGCAGGUUCACCUACGGAAA
RNAcentral lists this unclassified non-coding RNA (236 nucleotides) under uncultured fungus. RNAcentral's name for it is "sequence contains ITS1". Lineage: Eukaryota; Fungi. The record is from RNAcentral.